CUUUAAGAUUUAUGUUUGUUGACAGUUGGCAGGAUUAUCUGCUGAUGACAUGAUCGCUGUGAAUAAUAUGCGCUGCUUAUGCACUGACACAAAAAAGUCCUCAGGAGGAGGUUUUACACUGAAAUUUGAUGUUCAGAAGAAAAAACAUGCACAUAGAAAAGAGCGAACGACGGAACAAUCAGCAUGGGCACUGUCCCGAUUUUAUCCGGUUCUGGAGUGUGGGUAUUACGCCGAAGCCUUGGACCCCUGCGGUGCGGCUCCAGCCAGGGAGGGGUUGUCGCACAGCAUAGGCAAGGGAAGAAUUAUCAGAUGGGAGAUAAUUUGAUUCUUUGUUGCUAGCCUGAUCUGACUAGGAGGUGGGCACUAUAAAGUGCAUACAGAAGACUUGAGGCCUAAGGCUAGGAUCCUAGCAAACGUGGAAAGGACUAUACAAACUAGGAAACAAUUUCUAGAGAUAAGACCCUACCAAACUUCAAGAUGCAGAUUUGUUUCCUAAUGUGAUCUGCUACCGGUUGCACCAGCUAAGCCCACACGUGACAGCUGGUUUCACCCCAAUCUGCUAAGCUAUCUCUGACAACUGCAGCAACAGCAACAACAACUUUAGUCGCAAACAAGUUGGGGUAGGCUAGAGCUGAAACUCGUAAGAUCUCGAAACUGACUCAUGGUUCUGGCAUGGUGGAUAGCUAACUUCCAUGCACCCCUGUCCAUGGCUAGUUCUUUAGUGAUAUUCCAGACCUUCAGAUCUUUCUUUAUGGACUCCUCCCAUGUAAGUUUGGUCUACCUUGCCCUCUCUUGACAUUAUCAGCAUGCAUUAGCAGUCCGCUAUGCACUGGAGCUUCUGGAGGCCUGCGCUGAAUAUGGCCGAACCAUCUCAGACGAUGUUGGACAAGUUUCUCUUCAAUCGGUGCUACCCCAACUCUAUCACAUAUAUCAUCAUUUCGGACCCGAUUCUUUCUUUUGUGGCCGCACAUCCAUCUCAACAUGCGCAUCUCCGCUACACCUAACCGGUGAAUAUGUCGCCUUUUCAUCGGCCAACGCUCAGCCAUACAAUAUUGCGGGUCAAAUCGUCGUCCGGUAGAACCUACCUUUUAGCUUUUGUGGCACUCUCUUGUCACGGAGAACGCCAGAAGCUUGACGCCACUUCAUCCAUCUGGUUUUGAUACAAUGGCUCACAUCCUCAUCGAUAUCACCAUCCUUCUGCAACAUUGACCUCAAAUGUCGAAAGGUGUCCUGCUGAGGUAUCACCUGCCCAUCAAGGCUAACCUCCUCAUGCUUAGUAGUACUGAAACCGCACCUCAUGUACUCCGUUUUAGUUUUAUCAAGUCU
Aegilops tauschii subsp. strangulata is the source of this 1326-nucleotide long non-coding RNA. RefSeq lists it as uncharacterized. Lineage: Eukaryota; Viridiplantae; Streptophyta; Magnoliopsida; Poales; Poaceae. The record is from RefSeq and is a predicted model, not a curated record.